CUUCUGGGAGAGUAGCUGACCUGCACUGGACCUUGUGAACAUGAGAAACAAAUUUUCACUUUGCAAUCAGUAUGGACUCUGUUGGAAUGUAAUGUGUCAAUUUGGUUUCAUGCCUCAUCACACUGGCAGAUAGAAGAGGGUAAUGGCUGCUUUGGGGAGUGGAGGAAGCCAAAAAGAAGGCAAAGAGUGAAGACAGAGAAACAAGAUGUCAGUGGUGGUGCUGAGAAGGAAUAGAGAGACUUUUCUUCGUGCUAAGGGCCGCAGAGGGAGGAAUCCAGCUGAGGACUACACAGAAGCAUCUGGCUCCAGGAAUAACAGAUCAAAUGGUGACGAACUCCUUCAAAAUGGAGAGGGUCUCUAAGGUCUCUUCCAGCUGCAGAAUUCUCCUUUUCCGUGACUCAACCCAGAAUUCAACUGUAGAAAGUUGGGAAAAAUACUAUUCUCAAAGCUGACCACAUGGUGGCGCAGUGAAUCCUCCCAGAAACGAUACUCGGCUUCCCUGAGAGGCGAAUGAUGACACCCCAAAGCUGAAUAAUUCUAGGAGACGCCGCAUCAGUCUGCUAUGCUUCUCGUUCCUGGCGAGAGCAGAAACUUCAUAAUUUUCCUGGGCACAAAAAUGUGAUGAGAACUCUGUCAAGGCAAGCGACUUUAUUUCUCUUCUGGGCUUGCGACCGAAAGAAGCAGUUGAGUAUUGAACCAUAUAUUUGAGGACUGCUUUCUUUUGUUCUCCUUAAAGCAAUGAAUGAAAAAAUCACCACUAGUUUCUCAGGUGUCUCUAUUAUCAUUUUUCCUUCUUUCAUCACUUUUCCUUUAGCCUGUCAGCUGUCUCUUGGUCCUGCAUCCUCUCUAGUUCUGCCCUAAUUUUCCUCUUUUCCUUCUCAGCAAAGUUAUGCCUCAUGACUGUGAUUCACCCUUGCUUCAACUCACCACAGUUUGGAGCCUACGCUCAUUUCUAAAGGUCACAGAUGGACUUUGACUUGCCAAGCCCAAGGAUGCUUUCUUAGUCCUUAUCUUACACCCCAUCUUAAAACUCUCUGGCCUUUAUUUCUUUGAAGCCAAUCUGUCCUGGCAGUCCUCUUGCUUCUUUGACCAUUCCUUUCUGGCCUUUCUGGCCUCUUUCUCUUCUGUGCAUACAUUAACUACUGACGUACCCCAGGGUUCUAGCCUUACCCCAAAGGCUUCAUUUCUCUCUGUACACACUUUACUUGGAGAAUCUCAUCACUAUCAUCAUUUUAUCUAUCACUGAAAUGAUAAUCAAUGUCAAAUUUUUAUCUUUAGCUUUCACCUCAUAUAUGAUCUUUAGUUUCAUAUAUCCUAUAGGAACAGCAAACUCAAGGUAUCCGAAAACUGCCCUCAUUGUCAUCUCUGCUCAUCACCUCCAGUCCUCACUACCAAUCCCCCAACAAUGUACUAUGGGUUCUUCAUUUCUAGCUUAGUUACUGCCACCACCAUCCAGUUGCCCAAACCAGAGACUUAAGGGUCAUGGGAGACCUCUCAUUUCCCUGAGCCUUCCACGUCUAGGCAAACAGCAAGAUCUAAUGGUUUUAGCUCUGAAGUAUUUUUUCAAAUCUGUGUCUUCAGCCCCAUCCCCAAGACCAUGUCCCCUUGCAGACCCUCACCCUCUAUGGCCUGGAGCAUCGCAAUAUGUAGUCUCUUGUCUCUUGUCUUGCUUCCCUUAAAUUUGGUCUCUACAAGAUAGAGAGAAUACUUUACAAAACCCAAUCAUUUAACCUCUUUGCUUAAACAUUUUUACUGGCUCCACAUCAUUUACAGAUCAGAGUAGAAAGUGCUUAAUAUAGGUUACAAAAUCCUACAUUCCUGGCUUACUCCCUCCACUUGCUUUCUGUCUUAUCUGUCACAAGUUCUUGCUCAUAACAUUACAGUCUAAUGAUACUGCUUCUAGUUCCUCAUUCCCUUCCCACUGUUUAUGUCCCUGGCCUUAAUUAUUUUGUUUCCUUUGUCUCGAACUCUCUUCCCAUCAUUCUUUGUCUUAAUAGCUCUUACUCAUCUUAAGACAUCCUUGUCAUAUGAUAUCUCUUCUAGGAAGCUUUCCCUGAACCUCUGGUCGGAUUAAAUGUCCCCUUUUCUCACUCUCACAGCACUGUGUUUACUUCCACCUUAGAACUUCCCAUAUUUUAAUGAAAUGAUAUAUUUAUUUGCCUGGCCCUUCCAAUAGGCGUGAGCUCCUUGAGAGGAAGGAUCACACAUAUUCAUUUUCCUCAUCCCCAGUUCCUAGCACAGGGUUUUGUGCGUAAGGAAUGUUCAAUAAACUUUUGUUGAGCAGAAUUUAAGAUUUUUGAGGCUCAGGGUCCUUAGGGUAGUCUGUGAAAUCUGCUCCAAUUCUAAGAAAACAAAACUCUGGUUUUCAUUGGGGCCAGCUUCCCAGAAGAGAGAAGACAUGAGCCAUGCUGUGAAGAGUUGGGUGUUUAGGGUUUGGACUAAUAGAGAGAAGUGAGGGCUUUAAUCAGACGGAAUUGAUGAGCAAAGGUGAGAAGUCUCAUGUGGAGAACAGUACAGAAACAAUGCCAAGCAAACAUCAUGUUUCUCAUGUGGAGUAGUGGGAGAUGGAACCAGCUAUUAGAAACUUCUAAUGAGGGGCUGGCGGAUUUGGGGCUAAUUUUCAUAGGCAAAAGGAAGCACCUGAGAUUCUUGAACAGAAGAGUGCUAUUUCAGAGCCAUACUGCAGGAAGAGAAAUCCAGGACAAGAUACAAAAGGAAGUGAGAAACAGAUUGGAAUUGGUGAGGCCCAUAGGAAGUUCUGGCAGUUCAACAGGGGCCGGAUGAUGAAGCCGUGGACCAGAAUGGCAGCUGUGUGAAAAAGGAAAGAGUUAGUUUUUGAGCCACUAGAGAAAAAGUUAACAGAGAUUAAUUGCAUGUGGUGACAAGAGAGAGUGAAGAGUCAUGACUUUUUUAGAUAAAACAGCAGAAAGUUGGUGACACAAUUAAUAAAAAAGGGAAAUUGUAAAGAAAGGAUGGUUGUGGAGCAGCAGGUAACUUUGGUUUGAAAUCUUUGAAUUCAAGAUGAUGAAAAUUCACAAUACUUCGUAUUUAUUAGAUAUUCUUAAGGGGCUGUAUAUAUUUGAGUGAGUGCACGAACAAAUGAAAUCUUAAAUGAAAGGGUCUGCCAGGCGAAUGAACCCAAACUACUGGCUUAUAGGGUAGACUGAGUCAAGGACAGUGAUAUAGAUUUAGAAAUUAUCAGCUCAGAGUUGUGAAAACUACUGGAGGACAGGAACUUCUGAAGGAAGAGAUGCAGGGAGAGAAAGGCAGAGGCGCCCAGGUGUGAACCUUGGGUGACUUCUAUCUUUGAGGUAAAAAGAAGAGCCAUUGAAACCCAAUGAGUGUGUAAGGUCAGCUAGGUACAGAUUUUGUGUUCUGAGCCUAAAUAGCCUAUAAGGCAGUUGCAUGCCUCUCAAAUAGAUCAGAGUUGUUUGAACCAGUCAGAUCGCAAAUGUCCAGUUGUCAAAAAUAUUUUUUUUAACAUAUAUGGUGUAUAAGCUUUUGUAAGUCAAUAAGAGAAAAGCAGCAAAUAUUCCAAUAGAAAGAUGGGCAAGAGAGAUAAGCAGGAAAUUUCUAAAACAAACGCAAAGUCCAAGAAACAUCUGAAAAAGUGUUCAACUGCACGGGAAAUAAAAGAUAAAUGAAAAUAAUACGAUAUGAUUUUGUUGCUUAGCAAGUUGGAAAAUUUUUACUUAAAAAACAAUCUCCAGAGUUAGCAAUGGUAUGGGAAACACGGACUUGGUGGAAAAGUAAACUCAUACAAGCCUUCUAGAUGACAAUUUGGUGAAAGUGAUGCUAUUUGGCCUGGUGAUUCGAUUCAGUGAUUUCUUGAAACUUAAAGAAAGAAUAGUUGCUUGGCACCAAUAUAUACAUAUAAAAGUGUUUAUUUCAACCUUGCUUAUUAGUUAUACAAGGUAUGGAGUAAACUCUUUCCAGUAGAUCUUGAUAAUUAUUAAAAUUAUUACAUGCAUUGAAUUGUUUUUAACUUUUAUCCUGAAUAUCUUGUACUGCAGUUCUCAUAAUUGUAAAUUAUUUCUUAUGUGGUGCUCUCACACACUGAUUAUUUUCAUCUGGUAUUUCUAUUGGUUAUUUUGCGGCAUUAGCUCUCCUCAUUCACAAUGCACUUCCCCUCCCAGUGCAGCUGCAUUGUUGUCGAGCCUCAUUUUGGCAGAUGAUCUGUUCUCCCCUCAGUGUUUCAUGGAGGUAUCUUUUACAUCACUGCCCUGCACUCCAAUUGACUGUACAGAAAUCAAUUAAUUUUUAUGCUUCUUUAAACUCUUAAAUCUUUGAAAAAGUAAACAGUGGUUCAGAAAUGCAUAAAAUAUGCUAAACCGCCAGAAAUGCACUCAAGUUUUACAAAUCUUUUUAUACUCCACGUUAAGUUAAAAAUAGAUGACUUGCUUAAGUUUACGUGCUGUGGAAAUUCUAAAUCUCAUUUCUAAAGAAGAUUAAGUAAAUACAUACUUAGAUGCUUGUAUAAUUCCUUGUAAACAGUGAAAUGAGUCCAUCGAUUGCCAUGAUCAACAUUAUAAAGAAAUUAGUUAACAUUAAAUGCUGGCAUUUUCAUUUGCUGGGGUGACCCUGUGCAAACCAAUCCCUUCUGACCCUUGGGAAGUUAUCCUAAGUGUUUUCUAGACAAUGAUAAAUAUAGAUAAAUAGAUAUGUAGAUAGAUGGCAAGUAUUUGGGAACAUUGGGAGAUUGGUUAAAUAAAUUAUAAAUGCGUAAUGACAUAAAUUAUUUUACUUUUCUAACAAGCAUAGGACAAAGUAAGUCACUGCAGUUAUUAGUUAUGGCCUGUUUGAUUAUUCUUUGUUUCUUUGAUAUUGCCAAGAACCAGGAGGAAAAUAGGAGAAGCCCAGUUAUUGGUCAUUAGUCAUGUUUGAACUGUUUAAAUGUUGAGGUUCAAUUUAAGUUUAUACUUGUCUCACACAGCUGUCCGUUUUUACUAAACUGCUUCUCCCUAGGGUGAUGACGUGUAUUUAGCAUAUUGUCAAAUCCAUCUGAAAAGUACUGAGCAGCACGACUUCAUUAUGUAUUGUUUAUUUAGUACUGAAGGGAGUGGGAGCAUGUGGUUGUUUUACAAAUCUCAUUUGAAGUGUUACUGUAACUUAUGGAAAUGUAUUGUUUCUCACUGGUGUGCAAAUUGCAAACCACUUAUCUAAUGUCUCAAAAACAAUUCACUGGGCAAUUCUAGUCAUUUUUGCAGAGGACUGCAAAGGUUGUAGGAGACACCUUAGAGAACAUGUUCCAGUCCAUUCUCCCCCUCUCACAGGAGUGGAGGUAAAGCUCUUCAUCCCACAGUUUACCGAUUUUCUUAUCUGUAAAAUGAUAUGCGAUUUCUGUUAUGUUUGUCGUGUGGAUAAUGCUAGUAUUUGGCCAGAGAUCUGGAGUUGCAAAUCCUUGAGUUCUGUGUGGCCACAGCCACAUCCUAGGAUUUUCCCAAGAAAAGUAUUCCCAUAGAGGUUCAGACAAAGCAAAGCAUAUUCUGUAUUUCUGUAGAACUGUUGGCCCAAACCCCAAUAGUGUUACUUGUUGAGUUAGACUCUUCCUUGCCUAAGCCCCCAUCAAAGUGAACUCUGUCCCCUGCCUCUUCCCUAGCCCCAUCCAGCCUUGGCUUCUGUACCAUUCCAUUCUCAAGGCCAGGGGAAGCAAAUCCAAGGAGAGGCAAGGUAGAUAAUGUCUUCUUAGGAUCUAGAAUAUCUGUGGUUUAACCUCCAAGCCCCAGGGGAGCAUCCUCAGCCACAAGGAGAAAGAGUCACCUUCAGAGGCUUGGAGCUUUAAUUUCCUGGUUAUGUCGAGAGCUCUAGUUCCAGGUUCUUUAGGUCUGUUAAUGUUUUUGAACUUAGUCCCAAAGGGAUGGGUAGGGGAAGUAGAGAGGAAGAGGCCAAUAUAUAAUAAUUGUUGAGAAACAAGAUGGAAGCAGCAUAGCACGGUACAGGUUCUGUUGCCAGACUGCCUGGGUUGAAGUUCUGUUUCUGUCACUUUAUCACUUAGUCAAGUAACUUAUUGGCUUUGUGCCUCUGUUUCCUCAUCUGUGAAAUGGGGAUAAUAAUAUAUGACUCAUGAGAAUUAAAUUACUUAAUAGAGGCAAAGGACUUUUGGAAUAUGCUAAAUGCUUAAUAAAUGCUUGUUAUCAUUAUCCAGAUAUAUCGUGUGGCCAUUCUGCCAUAACCUCACACAGCUGUGUUCCUAGGAAGUGGUCAUCAAUAUCCAGAAAAACGAAUUUUAUUAGUGUGUUCAUAGUAGACUCAGGUAGACUUGUUUAUCCUAAUCACACUCAUAAUCAACUGAUUUAAAAAAUAGACAGACAAUAUGUUAAAUUAUAAUGAAAGAUAAAAUUCCUAGUGAUCUAGAAUGUUUUGGUCUGAUUGUUUGAUCAGUUCUCUCCAUAUAGAAAAAUUACAUGAGAUGGGAAGUCAAAUUAUAAUGAGAAAGUUGAAUGGAAAACAUGAAAUUAGAUAUGAGGAUAUUAUGUAGGCCACUCAACUUUGAUGAUCAAAUGUACUCAUCAUCUUUCAGAACAAAUAUAUAGAUUGGUAGUUAGAGUGCCAUCUUUAUCAAAUAGUGCAGAAAGCAUAGGGAAAACGUUGCUUUUUGGACUUCUCUUUUCUAGAUUCCAAGCAGUCUGUCUCCCUUCCCAUUAAUAGGUUCCACUUUCAGAUAGAAUAUGCCAAAGGGGUUGAGUGUUUAGAUUUAUUGGUUGCAAUCAUAUUCUAGUCUUAUUUUCUUGAGUCUACAUGCUAUUUUCCCUGAUUCAGUUUGGAGAUUCCCAAAUCUCAGGAACACAAUUAUGAAAACUCUUUGAGAGCAAUGGUUCCCAGAUGUUAACGUACAUAGGAAGCAUCUGGACAUCUUGUUGAAACACAGAAUCUGACACAGUAGGCCUAGAGUGAGGCCUGAGAUUCUGCAUUUCUAACAGUGCUCCAGGUGAUGUCAGUGCUGCUGGUCCAUAGAUGCACUGUGAGUAGCCAGUUUGUAGAUUACAGUCACGUGUCCCUUAACAACAGGGACACACUCUGAGAAAUGCGUCAUUAAAUGACUUUGUCAUUGUGCGAACAUCAUGAAGUGUACUUACACAAACCUAGAUGGAACAGCCUAUAACACACCUAGGCUAUAUGGUACUGAUCUUUGCGACCAUUAUCAUAUAUGCAGUCCCUCGUUGACUGAAAUGUUGUUACUUGUAUGGAUUCUAGUGCCAUCUGUUGCCUCUAAAUUUUUUCUGGUUUUACUGUUAGAGAAAAAUAUAAUCUCUAAGUUUUGGAAGUAGCAUAUGAAGUGGGCAGGAGGAGUCAUUUACUCUUGUACAUCGGGGACUUACUUCUCUUUAGUGUACUAACAGCAAAUGACUGCCCUGAUCACGUUGUAUGACUUUUAUUAGAGUGUUUGUAAGAGUGCUUUGUAAACUGUAAAAUGUUGAGCAUACUAAGUGGCUUCUUAUGUGCAUUAACUACCUCUUAAUAAAUAAAUUCUCCUGGUUACAUAGAUUGUUCACAUAAGCAGAAACUGCAUGGCAAAGCGAUGCCUAUGAUUUAUAGUAUCUGCCCUUGUAUUUUGACAUGGGCUUUCUUUUGAAUUCCUUGUCUUCUGUCUGUGGGGUCUAACCCAGGAAGUGCCACUCACAAUGAGUAAGUCUUUUUGUUCUUGUUUCCAGUUUUUAUAGAGGGUGACUCCCUAUCUUUUUGAACAAACUGCCAAAGUAUAUUUUUUUGUACACCACAAUCUUCUGCAUUGUCACUAUUUCAAACAAAUCCUUCAUAUUUGAUGAAAAUCUGUUUUCUAUUUUCACUUGGAGUAGUAAACAGAUGUAUCAUACUUGCUUUAUUUUCAUACAUUGUUUUUAGACAUUGCUGAAUCAUCAUUAUAAUGACUAACAUUUUUUGAGCUCCUACUUUGUAUCAUGAACUAUUACAUACUUUAUGCAUAUUUAUUUUUUCCUAAUCAUUGAAAGAAACCUGGAAAGUGAGGAUUUUGCAUCAGUCAGGACAGGCUUAACCAAGCUGGAGUAACAAACUACCCCUAAAAUUUUAGUGGUUUAGCAAAACAAACAUUUCUCAGCUAGUCAUGCAAAGUCCAAUGCUGGUAAGCAAGGAUUCUUCAUCAUAUGAAGCCAUCAUAUUGACUUAUGCCAGGGUCUUAAUUUAUAGAGAUGAUCGAGUGGGAACGUGAGAAGUCAGUGUCAUUGAAAGAAAAGUUUAUUGUUAUUCCCAGUUCCCCUCGAAAUGAGAGGCAUCACACACCAUGCAGGGCUACAUGGGGGAGCACCAGAGUUGGUCAGGAGGCAGAAGGAGGAACAAGGGGAAAGCAUAGGCCCAGAGCCUUUAUCGUGUUUUAUGUGGGACAGGCAAGGCAGGGUGGAGAAACUGCUUAGGAUUGGCUAGUUUGAAUAACGUUGGUGGGCUCUGGGUUAUAGAGCACACCAACAUAUGACUAGAUGGAUUUUGAAAACAAGAAUGUAUAAGCUAUAAAGUUCUGUUAUAAUUUAAAAAUAGUAAGGCCACAUUCCAGAUUUUAUAAAGUAGACCCAAAUUAAAGUUGACAUUGAAUUGGAAGAGGAUUGCAACAGAGUAUAAAGUGUGUCUAUAGCACAUAAAUUAUAUCUUUACUCUUUUGCAGUCUCCAGUUGUCUGGUACCUGGCCCUGAGUGAUUUAGGGCAGGGGAGAUAUUGGCUUGGUAUGUGAGAGUUAGGGAAGGUAGUUGGGGGUAUGGACUUGGGAUUGGUUGGAGGGGAUUGUGAUAUGAUAUUUGUGCACUGAUGAAAGCUGGAUCACAGGGGAGAUGUAAACAACUUUGGCCAUUAGUUUGGUUCUGUGGUUAAUGGAUGCCACAUAGACAAAUAUAGAAUAUAAGAAAGCACAGAACACAUGGCCUCUGGCUUUACCAUAGCAGGUGAGACAGCUGGAGGUCCCCAAAGGAUGUUUUUAAGGGUCAAAUCUCCCUGUCCACAGCCAAGUUAUAAUGGUCCGAAGUUUACUGCUUGGAAGACUGAGAAAUGCAGUCUUUCUGUUGAUUAGGAAGAAGAAUAUAAGAUAGGAUUUGGUGAACAAGUGUAUUGUCUCUGCUGUAUUAUAAUUACCUCCAAUUUACAAAAGAGCAAACUGAAGUUCUGGUAGAUUGUGAUUUAUCCAAAGAACUCAUCUUGCAAAUAGAAGACCAGGGCUUGAAUCCAGGCAUUCCACGGUCAUCUUCUUUCCCAGUAUUACAUGACCUGUGAAUUGAAUAUAAUAAUCCUGACUGUGAUAGACAAAACAUGACAACUGAUCAUAUUUUCCAAGUUUGUAACUGAGAAGGCACUGGGGUUAUAAUUAGUGUGAAAGUCAUAGCAUAAUUGAACUAAGAGUUUAGGGACCAACUGGAUCUUAGUCUGCCAUUCAGAGCAUCAAAUACAAAGGAAAAUGCCUGAUUUUUUCAUGGCAUUGUCAGAUUUUGAAGAUCAUCAGCCAGGGGGAUUAAAUCAGCCUGGUAAAUAACAGUUAGCAAAGGCCUUCAAUUUUUCUAUGAAGAGAGAGGUAGGAAGAGCACAAUCUCAUCAUUAGCAGGUACUUUUUGGUGAACUAGAUUGCUGAGAGUCUGGCCCACCAUCCCCAGGGUGACUACACCACAUUCUUGCCAGUGCUACCUUGAUAACUUAACUGGAGAGUCAUCUUCAACAUUGCUAAUGGUGAGGUCAGGGAGGGUACAGUCCAACAUACUGGGGCAGAAAGUCCCCAGUUUUCACCACAAUGGGUUCCUGGAAAUUAUGUCAUAAAGCAUAUGAAGUGGAUCAUGUUUUGCCAAAUAAACAAUGCAACACGUUGGGUAAAUAUUGUCCUGCUGAUCAAGAACUAAAUAUCUUUUUUUUUUUUCCUUUUUCUCCCCAAAGCCCCCAGGUACAUAGUUGUGAAUUCUUAGUUGUAGGUCCUUCUAGCUGUGGUAUGUGGGACGCUGCCUCAGUGUGGCUCGAUGAGCGGUGCCAUGUCCGCACCCAGGAUUCGAACCGAAGAAACCCUGGCCUGCCUGCAGCGGACCACACGAAGUUAACCACUUGGCCACGGGGGCCGGCCCCUAAAUAUCUUUUAAGUCAAACAUAUGACUAGAUGGUUUUUGAAAACAAGAAUGUAUAAGCUAUAAAGUUCUGUUGUAAUUUAAAAAUAGUAAGGCCACAUUCUAGAUUUUAUAAAGUGGACCCAAAUUAAAGUUCACAUUGAAUCAGAAGAGGAUUGCAACAGAAUAUAAAGUGUGUCUAUAGCACAUAAAUUAUAUCUAUACUCUUUUGUACAUUUCACCCAAAAUAAUCUGCCAGUUAUAACAAUAAGUAAUUUUAUCUUCAACUUUAGAAUGUAAGGCUUUGUUGAGAUUAUCCUCGUGCCUCAAGUCUCUUUAACAACUUGUCUAAGUCUGAGAUGAAAUAUGUAUGUAUAUUUUUAUUUUUUCUCUCUACGAAGUUCCCAAUAUUAAGUAUGCAUUUUCAGAAAAUCAUCCCAUGGAUUUAUUGGGUAGAGGGAGAAGUGUACCAGGGAAAUGCAGGUCUCCAACAGGGAAAUGGCAAGGACUGGCCCUGGGCUUAAAGCUGGUUCAACAAUGGUUGAAUUCCUCAUUCCUCUCUUAGAUAUGGCAACAAUUUAUGAAAUAGAUCUUAUUUCAAUUAGUGUGUUCCACUUCCUGAAUAAAUCGUAACAAGAGCCCUGCUAAGUAAAAUAUUUCCUUAUUAAAAUCUCAACCGUCAAUCAUCCAGGAAUUCUGCUUCUAGAUAUAUACCUAAGAGAAAUGAAAACUUACGUCCUUGCAAAAAUAUGUCUAUGAAUGUUCAUAUUAGCAUUAUUCAUAAUUGUCGAAAAGUGAGAACAACCCAAAUGUCCAUCAUCUGUUGAAUGGAUAAACAAAAUGUCCUGUACCCAUACAAUGGAAUGUUAUUUGGCCAUAAAAGGAGUGAAGUACUGAUACAUGCUACCAUGUGAAUGAACCUUGAAAACAUAAUGCGAAGUGAAAGAAACCAGACACAAAGGACUGCGUAUGGUGUGAUUUCGUUUGAAUGAAAAUUUCAGAAUAGGCAAAUCUAUUGAGACAGAAAGUAAAUUAGUGGCCGGGGCUCCAGUGGAGGUGGAGGUGAUCGCCACGGGAUGCGGAGUCUCUUUUUGGGGUGAUGAAAAUGUACUAAAACUUAUUUGGGCAAUGGUUGCACAAUGUAGUGAGCCACUGAAUUGUACACUUUAAGUGAGUGAAUUGUAUGGUAUGUGAAUUACAUCUCAAUAAAGCUGUCAACAACAACGACAACAACAAAACUCCAUCUGCUAGACAGCUCACCACCCCAUGAAGCAGGACAAAAAUCCUUUUAAAUACUAUAUGUUCUGAUUUCAGUAUCAAAAAUAAGUCGUUUGUAGCAACAUUUCUGGCACCAUGGUGUGGAGGAGGGAAAAUAAAUAAAUGAUAUAGUCCCAGCUCAUCCAGAGUUUAAAAUAUUGUUGAGGAGAUAAGACUUACAUCAAGAAACACUUAGAGAAAUCCUUUUUACAAUCAGCCUUAUGAGGGUGCUUUUGGCCAUCAUUGUUAGGUCAGAAAGUUUUGUCAACGUGAAGCACUUUUUGACAUAUUCAUUGCACAGAUGUUUAUAAGUGCCUUCUACACUCUAGAUACUAUGUUUAUAAAGGAGGACCACUGUUUCGUUUUCUAUCUCUUCUCAAAAUGUCAUGGUCUAGGGGAAUAAAGGUUAAGAAUGUUGAGACCAUCACUUCCAGCAGCAUCGUGGGUGCUGGAAAGGGCUUUGUGAUGAGGUUCCGAAGACCCUGACUAAUUUGAGCAUGACUGUUCCUUGGCUCUGUUGUCCUGAGCAAGUCACUUAUCUUUAAACGAGAGUUUGCUCCCUUUAUAAAAUGAGGGGACUGGAUUCUCUCAGGUUCCUUCCAACUCUGUAUCUUAGUUAUGUUGCGUAGGAUGUUGAUCUGGGUCAUUUUAGAAAGCAUUUUCCCCUUUGGGCUGCUUUUAAGGAAAGAAAAUGAAUGCAUUUUGAAAGAGAAACUCAUUUGAGUUUGUUACAUAAAUAAUGCACAUUUACCAUGGUGAUCCGAAACCCUAAGGUUUAUGGUGAGCAAUUAUUACUUCACUUCUUACUUGCAUAUAUGUGAGAAAAUCACUCGUGUAGCUGAAAAGUGCAACUUCUCUCUACUCCCAGAAAGUGUUAGGAUUGCAUCCUUUGCCUUUUGUACUACAUUUAUUUACAAUUUUAGGAAGAAGAAAAUUAAUAAUGAAACUUUAAUAAUCAACCAUAUUGUUACUGGUUUCCAUAUACCGCUUUAUAAAAGACUCUAUCUCUUGCCAUCUGUUGGCAUUUGAUCAAAAACCAAAAAAUGCGAAAAUGAGUCAUGGCUUCAUGAGUCUUACUCUCUCUCUUACCCUUUACCUUUAUGGCAGUGAGUGGGAGAGAAGGUGUGUCAUACCCAAACCCACUGAUAGCCAGUAACAGAGGAAAUGAAGGGAGCUCUUCAAAGCCCAAGGCAAGAAUGUCUGUCUGUUGUGGUGACUAGCUUGGAAAAUGAAAGUUUGAUGUUGUUUUUCUGUGAUAAUCAUUUUGAUCUUCCAAUUCUGUAUUCCUAAGAGAGGAGGAAAAGCAGGAAACAGAGAAUUGGGUAUAGUACACAUUCCCUAAGAUAGUGAAUAUCACGUGUGACCUUGUGAACGUUGACUUUGGGUGCCAUUGGACAAAAACACUGUUAUGGGUUGAAUGCUGGUGUCCCUCCAAAAUUCAUAUGUUGAAUCUCUAAACCCCAAUGUGAUGGUAUUGGGAGGUGGGCCUUGGGAGAUAAUUAGGUUUAAAUUAGGUCGUGAGAGUGGGACCCUCAUGAGGGGAUUAGUACCCUUAUAAGAAGAGGAAGAGAAAUCUCUCUCUCCAGGUACCGAGGAAAGGCCGUGUGAGCACACAGUGAGAAGGUGGCAGUCUAGAAGCCAGGAAGAGGGCCUUCACCAAGAACUGAGUCUUCUCAUAUCUUGAUCUUGGACUUCUCCAUCUCAGAACUGUGAGAAAUCUCAACCUCCAGAGCUGUGAGCAAUAAAUGUCUGUAGUUCAAGCCACCGAGUCUGUGAUAUUUUGUUAUAGCAGCUGCUGAAGAUGAUGUUUUCUGUUUGUGAAUGAGCUGCUUUGGCAUUCAAAUUCCCCAGGAUUUAUAGACUUAUAAUAAACAAUAUUACCUUCUGACUCUGGGACUGGUAUUCCCAUGUCAUCCCUCUUCUCACUAGCAGCCACUAACAGCCAAUCUGACUAAGACAGACACCUUUUGUUGAAUGGAACAUACCUGUCACAAAGGGGAGAUCAGGGAACUUUCCUUCCUGUAAAGGUAACUCCAACCUAGAACAGCCUAUAAGUCUCUCUGCUAGAACCAAGACCAAGGAGCUAUUUUAGGUAAGGGAGCUGUCCCAGGGCACAUGCGAAUAGCAUUACAAAAGCAUUUUUAAAUCUUGAAUCAUAGAUCCUCAAAUUUGGGAGGAAACCUAGCAGUCAUCUUGUGUAAUCCUCUGUUAUAGACGAAGAGACCCAAGAAGGUUAAGUGACUUCUCCAGGGUCCCACAGCCAUUAACAGAGUUGUGGUUAGCACCUCGGUCUCUUGAAGCUAAAUCUGAUGUUGCUUCCAGAGGGUUAUCUAGAAUAUAUCAGAUAAUAAUUUCUCAUAUAUAUAGUAUAUGUUUGUUUUUAUUUAAGAAUUUGAGGUACCAAUUCGUGGCCUAUUUUUAUGUGAAUAUAUAAUAUCUUAAAGAAAGUUAAGAUGAUGCAGUCCAUAUUCCUUAUUACCUAUAUAGUUCUUCUUCCUCGUUUUUUAAGGACAGGUCUUUUUUAAAUUGUGGUAAGAAUUCUUAGCAUGAGAUCUAUUCCGUUAACAAAAUUUUUAAGUGCACAGAACGGUAUUGUUAACUGUAGUCACAAUGCUGAACAGCAGAUCUCUAGAACUUAUUCAUCUUGUAGAACUGAAACUUUGUACCCGUUGAUCAACAACUCUCCAUUUCCCUCUCCCCCAACACCUGGCAACCACUAUUCUGCUCUCUGUUUCUAUGUGUUUGGCUAUAUUAGACACUUCAUAUAAGUGGAUUCAUGCAGUAUUUGUCUUUUUGUGACUGGCUUAUUUCACUUAGCAUGGUGCCCUCCAGGUUUAUCCACGUUGUCACAUGUGGCAGGAUUUCCUUCUUUUUUAAGGAUGACCAAUAUUCAAUUGUCUGUAUAUAUCACAGUUUCUUUACUCAUUCAUUCAUCGAUAUACAUUAUGUUUUUUCAGUUUUCAAAUAAUUUUCACGUAAAGAACAAGAAACUGGGAUCUUUAUUCUUCAUGGUUCCUCUUGCAGUGGUAAGCACAGUGUGUUGUACAUGAUUGUUACUCAAUGUUUAUUCACUGUUUUACUCUGUAAAACAUAAGAAAGGAGUUAGCUAUCCCUGAUUACCCAGUGUAGAAAUUAAGGCAGAGAUUUGUCUGUGUCUAUCAACUCUCUGUACCUCAGUAGUCUUAGCUGAAGACCAGAGAUGACAGUACUCUUUCCUCAUAGGUUUAUGAUGUCAGAUUAAAGAUGGCCACGAAUUCUUUGCCACUUUUCUGAUGGAGAGCUGGUGUUUAUUUCUCCUCCUCUUGAAUCUGGGCUGGGCUGUAACUGCUUUGACCAAUAGAGUAGAUUGGAAGUGAUGGCAUAUCAGUUCUGGACCUAGCCUUUAAGACGACUGGAAGCUUCUUUCUCAGUCUCUGGAGUCCUGAGCUCCCAUGUAGAAAGUUCAACCACCCUCUGGACAUACCACAUGGAAAGGGAGGAGGGAAAACCUCAGCAGAGACCAGCCUUCCAACCGUCACAGCCAGGGCACCAGGCAUGUGAAUGAGGCUAUCUUAGACCCUCCAACAAUUCAACCACCAGUUGAAUACCAUCACGUGCAUGCCGUGCGAAACAGACAAAUGGUCUGGCUGAGCUCUGCCCAAACUCCUGACUUAAACAACGGUGAGCUAUAACUAAAUCCUUCUUGUUUUAAUCCACUAAGUUUGGGGAUAGUUAAUUAUGUUGCAAUAGAUAACCUGAGUAGUUGUUAUGAGAAGUAAAUGAGUUUAUACACAAAAAGCAUUUAGAACAGAAUGUGUUUUAUCCCUGAGAUGUUUUUGCACAGGAAAACUGUUGAGAACCCCAAAUCCUAAAAAGUAAUAUCGUACGUUGGUUGAAUUGAAUUGAAAAUGGUUAUGUGCUUCAUGAUAUUUGAAAAUUAUAGAUACAUAAUUAUCUAUAUCAAAUGAUAAUGUCAACUGUGUCAAUACUUGGAAAUAAGGGAGAGUAAUGUCAAGUAGGAAACCUAGAAUAAAAUAAUAUGUAUACAAUGACCACAAUUAGGUAAAAUAUUAGGGAUCGGAGGACAGACCUGAAUAGUGUAAUUAGCUUUUGUUUAAAGUUUUAUAGGAUGUCUUUCUGACAAGGUUAAUUGAAAGCAAAUCCCCUAAGUGUCUUCUGUACAAUAUUAACUCUCCAGAUGCUUCUAGCAAACAGGAUUCCUUUAUCAAAUAAGUUCAUGCACAGCUUCUAUGGAGAUUCUCCUCAGAAAUACAUGGAACAUAAAAUCCUCUGGGAAAUAAACUUUUUCAUGUUGUACUUCUCAGCUUUCUUCAGACUACUUUGAUCCCCCAAACCCUUUUCCUAAAGGACACUUGUUAAUCUUUCCCAGAACCACUGUCUGCAGAACAACCUCAGGAAAACAUGGGCCCAGUGUCCACUUCUCCACGUGGGUGGGCCUUGGUGACUCUCACCAUGAGCUGCGCCUGCUACAACAGGACAGGGAGCCCCCGGACUGACUAUGAUGCUGAAAUCCUAUUUUAUCUUUACCUUUUCAAGCAUUUAAAAGUUUGAUUUUUGUAUCUGAUGGCAAUUCAAUAGACAAGUCUGUGGACUUUUUUCUCUUCCAAGCGACUCAGUCAAAUCAUUGAUCUAAAAAUCAGCUUGUAAUGGAACCAUUUAUAAGAGGAGGGUAUUUUUGGCAUGCAGAUAGUCACACCUGACUUAUGGAUUUAAAAAAUAUUUAAAAACUGAUUAGAAUGAAUUUCCUUGGACUUUUUAAUGGGAAAUUUUGUCCUAUGUCUGACAGAUGGGUUAGGGAGAGUGAAAGUGAACACAGGCUAUUGGCUAGGGGUCCUAGGGAGUGCUGAGGAAUCCAUGGAAAUUGCUGGUCCUCUGGGAUUUUUCAAGUUUUAAAACUGCCAUAAACAGUGACAUUUCUGUUUUUCUCCCUUUAAUUUAUUUUUUCUUGAAAUCUAUUUGUCAAAAUGAGACGACUAAAUCAUAAAGAAUGACAGAUCCAAUUAACUUGCAUUGUAUACUGCCAGAUGGCUCUCCUAAGUGAUUGAACCAGUUCUUUAUUUUAUGUCAUAUGAAUGUAUUUUUUAAAUUAAUUCAGUAAAUAUGCAAUAGGGCCUCAUACUUGUUUUCAAUUAUAUUUCUUUAAUUAUUGCAAUGCCUGAACCUUUCCCAUGUUUUGUUACUAUGUUUACUAAUCUAUAAACUACUUAUAUCAUUUUAUUUCUUGUUAAGCUUAGCUAUCUUUAUGAAAAGUUGCAAAUAUGCUCAGGAAAUAGAAAUGAAAGCUGAGUACAAACCACUCAAUUUCUUCUCACUUGGGACAAAAGAGUCCAGCCCAGUUUACUGAACCAGCCCAAGGGAGCCUUACUCCUCCCCCUCCACCAUCCCCACCCUCUCACCUCUCACCAGACAAUGUAAGCUCUGUGAGAGCAGAGAUCAAGUCAGCCGUGUUCAUUUACCCUGUGCUUGGCAUAGAGUUGGUAUUUAGCAAGUAGCCAUGGGAAGAAGCAGGAAAGAAAGAAGGCUGACAGGCCAGGAGGGAAGGAAGGCAGUCAGGAAGGAGAGAAGGCAGGCUGGAAGAAAGGAAGGCAGGCAGGAAGGAACAGAGGGAGGGAGGGGCAGAGGGACAGGGAGACAGGCUGUGUGCCUCUCAGAAAUGUCCUAAUAAUAAAGAGCAUUAUCCUUUAACUUAUUUUGUAUUUAACAACAGAAAAUGUGCUGUGGUUCUUAUUUUCAUGCUUCCUUGAUCAAGUCGCAUAAACUCACUGGUCCCAUUUUAAGGGGUCUGUGAAGAGGUUCACUAAGGUUCCAUCUAGCCUUGAAAUGAUGCCAUGAUCUGAAAGAUAUACCGACAGAGAACUUCAGUCCAAACUCAGCUACAGAUAAAAUAUAUAUAUAUCCCGUCCUGUUUCCUUUUAUUUCCCCGUACAAAUAUGGGUGCCCCUUAUUGGUCCUCCCCACCCCUUGCACGAAUGUGGGCAUGCACACACAUACUCGCACGCUAAUUCCUGCCUUAGAGUCUUUGCUCAGGGUGUUUCCCCUCCUAAAAUACCCUCCCUCUCCUUCCCUCUCUGCUCAGCAACAUCCUUCCCACCCUGCAAGGCUCUGUGUAAGUCAUAUUGGAAGCCAUAUAAUCAUAACACUGCUGCCUGUACAGCAUCUUUGCUUUCUACUUUUCCUUUUUACAAGCUCUUCCAACAUUCCAGUGAGUCCCUCAGGUGAAGACCGUGUGGUUCAGCUGUCUGCCCCGACAGGGACCGAGUCCCUGCCUACUUCUGAUGAAACUCUCAAACUUUGGACAGGUCCCUGGCUGUCCCCCGGGGCAAUCCCCCCCGCCUGGAGCUGACGUGGUUUGAACUCCCACACAGAGCUGCUCUUCUGCCCUACUUCUGGAUUUUACUGUAACUUGCUUAGCAGCCGGAGGUGCUGAAGUUGCAGAAAGGCCUUGUGGGUUUGCUUUUGAUAAUGUUCAAAUUGUUUCCAAAACUGUUCAGCAUUUCCUGCCCUUGUUAAUAGGCUCCUUCAGCUCAUUUUUUUGUCAUUGCUUGUCCUUCCCAGGCUCCUUCCCUUAUUCCUUAGUAACCAUUUUGAUAUUUGCACUCCUCUUUCUCAGGGUUUCUCAUCAGCUCACUAUGACUUUCCUCACUCCAUUUCCCUGUCUCCCUUACCUCAUUCUGCCCCUCCCCCAAACAGCUAUGACUCCCCUGACUUUAUUCCUUUUGUCAUCACUGUCUCAUUUUCCCCCUGGCGUCCAGUUAUUGGCAUUGUCCCUUACUUCUAUUAUUUAAGUAACAAGCUUCCUAGGGAAAAAAUUUCCAAGCCAUUUAUUUAGUGAAAUUUUUUUAUAUCAGACUGACCUCAGAUCAAAUAUGACUUCUGACCUUAGUUGUUUGACCUUUGGCAAAUCUCAGUUUUAUCCUUUUAUUAUUAUUAUUAUUAUUUUUGAGGAAGAUUAGCCCUGAGCUAAUAUCUGCUGCCAAUCCUCCUCUUUUUGCUGAGGAAGACUGGCCCUGAGCUAACAUCUGUGCCCAUCUUCCUCUACUGUGUAUGUGGGUUGCCUGCCACAGUGUGGCUUUAACAAGCGGUGCACAGGUCCGCACCUGGGAUCCGAACUGGUGAACCCUGGGCUGCUGAAUCCGAACGUGCAACCUGAACAGCUGUGCCACUGGGCUGGCCCCUCAGUUUUAUCCUCUCUUAAAGAGGGAUGAUAAAUUCCAACCUUCACAGAUUGUGAGGUUACAUGACAUAAUUCACAGACAGUGCCUGAUGUCACAAUGAAUAAUAUUCGUCUUCCAAUUCUAUUUCCUAGCUUUUCAUGAGGAAGCUACUCCAUUUCAGGGCUGAUCAUUAGCCUCCUACUUGUUCAUUUAUGCACUAAAUAUUUGAAUGCUGAGCACAUGGCAGAUCCUGAGGUAGCAUUGGAGAUACAGUGAUAAAAUGUGUUAGAUGAUGUCACUGCCCUCACAGAUUUUGUAGUCUAGUGGGAGAUUUGGGCAAGUAAACUGACAUCUCACUCUCCGUUUUUCUCCCCCUCACUUAGGAAAAGCUCAGUGCUUCUUUGUGUCAGACCCUGUGCUUCUUGUUAGGGUCCCCAGUGGGUACCCCUUCCCUUCAAGGAGCUGCAGCCUUAUAACUGGCUUAUGUGUCAAAUAGAAGCACAAUUCAGAGAAAGAUCUGAC
Molecule: long non-coding RNA, 18955 nt
Filed under: Equus caballus (horse)
Lineage: Eukaryota; Metazoa; Chordata; Mammalia; Perissodactyla; Equidae
Description: lncRNA (ENSECAG00000043417.2)
Source: RNAcentral